Molecule: long non-coding RNA, 643 nt
Filed under: Danio rerio (zebrafish)
Lineage: Eukaryota; Metazoa; Chordata; Actinopteri; Cypriniformes; Danionidae
Description: si:ch73-116b16.3 (ENSDARG00000096846.2)
Source: RNAcentral
AUUAAAACCGAGCAGCUUCUUCUAUAUCUAAUUAAUGAACACGUGAGACACCUGUGAGAAAAUAUCGACAGAAGUGAACACACACGGAUGAAUGACGCAAAAUGGACUGAAAGAUUGAAACUCCACUCACAGAUGUGGUCAUUAACAGCGUACCUUUCGCUGUCAUAACAGUAUAAAGCUCCUCAGAAAGCUAAAAGAAAGUGUUUAGUUAUCGAAGAAAAGCAAACAUGUUAUCAAAACCACGCCGAAAUGUGUUAAUUAAGCGUUUUCAACCUUUCACAUCUGUAUUUAGGUGUCGUGGUGGGACGGGUGGUUUUUUCCGGUCGGGAGGUGGCAGACGGACCCCUUCCUCAAGCUGCAUGAGUCGGGCUACAUCCGGCGGGAUGUGCUCUGGUUUGACCCCUGCUGGCGGAGGCUGGAAACUACCAUUGUUCUGCUGACAGUUUGGCAAUGCCGGGUUAGUCGUGGGCUUCGUUUCACAAAUAAGAGGGACCUGUUGUGAAAAAAAACAGGGAAAGACAGAUUUUAAAGAUUGUUUGAUUUGUCAUUGGCUAUGUUUUCAUUCAAAGAUGCAAUUUAGAGUUAGGCACAAACUGAAAUAUUGCAUAAAACAUUUGCUAAUAAAUUACUGUUUCCAUCAAAU